Molecule: transfer RNA, 67 nt
Filed under: Scolytinae sp. BMNH 1040052
Lineage: Eukaryota; Metazoa; Arthropoda; Insecta; Coleoptera; Curculionidae
Description: tRNA-Met
Source: RNAcentral
AAAAAGGUAAGCUAAUUAAAGCUGGUGGGCUCAUACCUCACUUAUAAAGGACUUCCUUUCCUCUUUA